UUAUCUUUUAUCUGCUCUCAUCCAAUUCCAGCUACAUUUUGUAGCAAGUACAAGUACCUCGUGUUUAAAACGUAUGUGCUAUUUUAAGCACUUAAUGUUAACACCCAACCCAAACAAUUUUCCUAGUUUACUCCGAUAAAAUGAAGCUCCUCGUAGCAAUUCUCUUCCUUAUUUCUGCAGCAUCAGCCGCCCAAAAAUGCUACACAUGCUCAACGACAACAAAACCCGCAUGUGAAAACCUCUCAGACCUUUCAAACAUUGAUACGUGCGUAAGCACAGCCUCGGAGGGAAUUAAUUGCGUCAUGUACAAGUUUAGACUAAACGGGAGAGAUCUUGAUAUCGUAUACCGAGGCUGUUUAACAAAAGACAGAACCUGCGAUGAUGAAAAGGCCGCAUUACAAAACGAAAAGAAAGAAAUGCUUGAUUGUAGGUUAUGUGAAACUGAUUUGUGCACGAACACGAACGCGGUGUCUCGAAUUAAUUUAUCGAAUAUUUUAAGUGUAAUCACGUUUAUUGUAAUUAAAUUAGUUAAUUAAUAAAAUUAUUGCACCUGAA
Tribolium castaneum (red flour beetle) is the source of this 555-nucleotide RNA transcript. RefSeq lists it as uncharacterized. The transcript is spliced from 3 exons. The record is from RefSeq and is a predicted model, not a curated record. NCBI's taxonomy places the organism in Eukaryota, Metazoa, Arthropoda, Insecta, Coleoptera, Tenebrionidae.